GCCGUGGUAGCUCAGUGGUAGAGCGUGCUAGUUGGCAGGCGGCAAGCGCGGGUUCGAGCCCACCACGGGACA
Non-coding RNA from Halocaridina rubra (Hawaiian volcano shrimp), 72 nucleotides. Lineage: Eukaryota; Metazoa; Arthropoda; Malacostraca; Decapoda; Atyidae. The record is from the annotation of a GenBank genome assembly.